This 661-nucleotide long non-coding RNA is filed under the name Homo sapiens (human). Its description in RNAcentral is "HSALNT0074367". Lineage: Eukaryota; Metazoa; Chordata; Mammalia; Primates; Hominidae. The record is from RNAcentral.
GUGUGGUGAUGUCAAAGAUGGCCCUGGAUUUUCCUCAUUUCUCUUCCUUUUGUCAUUGCCUGAAAUUCCACCAAUUACAGAUUUAUUUGGGUUUAAAGUAUCUCAUUUGAAAGCAGGCCCCCUUCCUAACCCUCAUCCCCACCUUCAAGGGUUAAAGCAGUGUUUGCUCAGCAGCCAGUAUUUGGAUAGCACCUGGAAGCCCAUUGUGAUAUGGCUGUACUACUAGAGUACUCCAGUGGACACAGGGACGAGCACAUUCUCCAGAUCCUUAUUAUGGCUCAGUGUGAUCUUCAUAGACAUCAUAUUUGUCCCUCCUUUGACAUUUCUAUUUCCAGUCACUACAGUAACUGUAUACAAAAAAAUAAGUAUAUAUGAGCUUACAUAUAUAAAAACACAUAAACAUUCUCACAAAUGCUUCCUAGGUACGGAAUAAUAAUAAGACUAGUUAGCAACCAAUCUGCAUCUAAACAGAUGUACACUCAGGGUACAUUUGGCUCUCCAGACUUGGGCAAAGCAAAUUCAGUAGCCCUUGGGGACUCCUCUGAAAAAGAUCACAGCUCCUAGAAGAAAAGCAUGGAGAAGUGGGGAGUGGGUGUGCAGAACCUUUAAAAGGCAUCCUGCUCAGGACAGUGUCCACUCUGAAGCCCUACUGCCUGCUGGU